AGUGAACGCUGGCGGUAGGCCUAACACAUGCAAGUCGAAUGGCAGCACAGUAAGAGCUUGCUCUUACGGGUGGCGAGUGGCGGACGGGUGAGGAAUACAUCGGAAUCUACUUUUUCGUGGGGGAUAACGUAGGGAAACUUACGCUAAUACCGCAUACGACCUACGGGUGAAAGCAGGGGAUCUUCGGACCUUGCGCGAUUGAAUGAGCCGAUGUCGGAUUAGCUAGUUGGCGGGGUAAGGGCCCACCAAGGCGACGAUCCGUAGCUGGUCUGAGAGGAUGAUCAGCCACACUGGAACUGAGACACGGUCCAGACUCCUACGGGAGGCAGCAGUGGGGAAUAUUGGACAAUGGGCGCAAGCCUGAUCCAGCCAUACCGCGUGGGUGAAGAAGGCCUUCGGGUUGUAAAGCCCUUUUGUUGGGAAAGAAAAGCAGCAGGUUAAUACCCCGCUGUUCUGACGGUACCCAAAGAAUAAGCACCGGCUAACUUCGUG
This 492-nucleotide ribosomal RNA is filed under the name uncultured bacterium. Its description in RNAcentral is "partial 16S ribosomal RNA". It matches the Rfam family "Bacterial small subunit ribosomal RNA", at positions 29 to 507 of the family's 1533-position model. The record is from RNAcentral.